This 495-nucleotide ribosomal RNA is filed under the name uncultured bacterium. Its description in RNAcentral is "partial 16S ribosomal RNA". It matches the Rfam family "Bacterial small subunit ribosomal RNA", at positions 28 to 507 of the family's 1533-position model. The record is from RNAcentral.
GACGAACGCUGGCGGCGUGCCUAAUACAUGCAAGUAGAACGCUGAAGGAGGAGCUUGCUUCUCUGGAUGAGUUACGAACGGGUGAGUAACGCGUAGGUAACCUGCCUGGUAGCGGGGGAUAACUAUUGGAAACGAUAGCUAAUACCGCAUAAUAGUAGAUGUCGCAUGACAUUUGCUUAAAAGGUGCAAUUGCAUCACUACCAGAUGGACCUGCGUUGUAUUAGCUAGUUGGUGAGGUAACGGCUCACCAAGGCAACGAUACAUAGCCGACCUGAGAGGGUGAUCGGCCACACUGGGACUGAGACACGGCCCAGACUCCUACGGGAGGCAGCAGUAGGGAAUCUUCGGCAAUGGACGGAAGUCUGACCGAGCAACGCCGCGUGAGUGAAGAAGGUUUUCGGAUCGUAAAGCUCUGUUGUAAGAGAAGAACGAGUGUGAGAGUGGAAAGUUCACACUGUGACGGUAUCUUACCAGAAAGGGACGGCUAACUACGUG